UCCUGGGAACCCCCCCCCGAAAGGCUCCCUGGGACGUGGAAGUGCUUCAGGUCAACCCCAGUGUAUUCACCUGGCAUCCCUUGGGAAGCUCUUAGUGAGCCGCGCAGACACCAGCACGUCCGUAACCACCCAUAGGAUCUCCUAUUGCUGGAGGAAGAGCUGUAAUUUCGGCUGGCUGCGGAAAGAAGCACUGAAGACACGAGGAAAUAUUACUUGCAUGCAGGCUGAUCACGCUGAACCGUAAGGGCUAGGGUGAAAUAAUUCAUUGGUCUUUCUGGCAGGCGGAACUCUAUUGCUGCCA
Long non-coding RNA from Numida meleagris (helmeted guineafowl), 301 nucleotides. RefSeq lists it as uncharacterized. The record is from RefSeq and is a predicted model, not a curated record. The transcript is spliced from 3 exons. NCBI's taxonomy places the organism in Eukaryota, Metazoa, Chordata, Aves, Galliformes, Numididae.